GGGUACCGCUGAAUCCACCCUCCCCUGCAUCGUUCGGUAUAAACGACGCGGAUGGC
RNAcentral lists this non-coding RNA (56 nucleotides) under unclassified sequences. The record is from RNAcentral.